GUCGCCAGUGGUGAUGUCGAUCGCCUGGCUUGCAGGUGGACUCAAAAUCCGUCCAGUGUGCGUUCGAGUCGCACCGGGG
Molecule: transfer RNA, 79 nt
Filed under: Saccharothrix tamanrassetensis
Lineage: Bacteria; Bacillati; Actinomycetota; Actinomycetes; Pseudonocardiales; Pseudonocardiaceae
Description: tRNA-Leu
Source: RNAcentral